UCACGUGGUCCUGUCGCGCGUCACGUGGCUGCCAUCGCCGGUCACGUGGCCGCCGGCGCGGGUCACGAGAACAAACACGGGGGCAGCCGGCGCUUCCCGGCCGGUGUCGCUCCGCGGCGGGCCAUGGCCAACGUCUCUAAGAAGGUGUCGUGGUCCGGCCGGGACCGGGACGACGAGGAGGCGGCGCCGCUGCUGCGGAGGACGGCGCGGCCCGGCGGGGGGACGCCGCUGCUGAACGGGGCUGGGCCCGGGGCUGCGCGCCAGGAUAUGGACCCUCCACAUCCCUUCCCCAAGGAGAUCCCACACAACGAGAAGCUCCUGUCCCUCAAGUAUGAGAGCUUGGACUAUGACAACAGUGAGAACCAGCUGUUCCUGGAGGAGGAGCGGCGGAUCAACCACACGGCCUUCCGGACGGUGGAGAUCAAGCGCUGGGUCAUCUGCGCCCUCAUCGGGAUCCUCACGGGCCUCGUGGCCUGCUUCAUUGACAUUGUGGUGGAAAACCUGGCUGGCCUCAAGUACAGGGUCAUCAAGGGCAGUAUCCUUCCUGGUACGGCCGGUGCAGCUUGGGAGGGGGGCGUGACC
RNAcentral lists this small RNA (582 nucleotides) under Pongo abelii (Sumatran orangutan). RNAcentral describes it as "retained intron". Lineage: Eukaryota; Metazoa; Chordata; Mammalia; Primates; Hominidae. The record is from RNAcentral.